AUGUCCGAGAGAGGUCUUUGGACGUUCCUCAUUUGCCAUGCCGCCGUUCCGUGGGAACCCGGUAGUCGGGAGCACCCCACCAUCUCUAGCAUGUUGCGCACAUCCGCACGCCUCCUUUUGCACCGGUAUGUCCGUGAGCUACCGGAACCGAUAUGUUGUUGUGGCAUCAUUUUCGGAUAUGUUGCCGUGGCACCAUUUAUAUUUCGCCGCCGUGGCACCUGUCGUGGUUCUAAGCCUGACAGUAGAGUGGGGGUAGGUAUGGAGAGGCAAGGUCCUAGCUAUGGAGAGGUUGUAAACACAGGAGAUGUACGAGUUCAUGCCCUUCUUGGAAGAAGUAAAAGCCCUACGUCUCGGAGCCCAGAGGCGGUCGAGUGGAUUAUGUGUAUAUGA
Molecule: ribosomal RNA, 390 nt
Filed under: Triticum aestivum (bread wheat)
Lineage: Eukaryota; Viridiplantae; Streptophyta; Magnoliopsida; Poales; Poaceae
Description: partial small subunit ribosomal RNA
Source: RNAcentral